UGGCUACAGAACGAACGCUGGCGGCAGGCCUAACACAUGCAAGUCGAGCGAGGACUUCGGUCCUAGCGGCGGACGGGUGAGUAACGCGUGGGAACGUGCCCUUUGGUACGGAAUAGGCCCCCGGGAAACUGGGAGUAAUACCGUAUGGUGUCUUCGGACUAAAGAUUUAUCGCCAAAGGAUCGGCCCGCGUUGGAUUAGGUAGUUGGUGGGGUAAUGGCCUACCAAGCCGACGAUCCAUAGCUGGUUUGAGAGGAUGAUCAGCCACACUGGGACUGAGACACGGCCCAGACUCCUACGGGAGGCAGCAGUGGGGAAUCUUAGACAAUGGGGGCAACCCUGAUCUAGCCAUGCCGCGUGAGUGAUGAAGGCCCUAGGGUUGUAAAGCUCUUUCAGCUGGGAAGAUAAUGACGGUACCAGCAGAAGAAGCCCCGGCUAACUCCGUG
RNAcentral lists this ribosomal RNA (444 nucleotides) under uncultured bacterium. RNAcentral describes it as "bacterial SSU rRNA". It matches the Rfam family "Bacterial small subunit ribosomal RNA", at positions 26 to 507 of the family's 1533-position model. The record is from RNAcentral.